AAUCAACGCUGGCGGCGUGCCUAACACAUGCAAGUCGAACGAGAAAGGGGGCUUCGGUCCCUGAGUACAGUGGCGCACGGGUGAGUAACACGUGACUUAUCUACCCUCGAGUGGGGAAUAACUUCGGGAAACCGAGGCUAAUACCGCAUAAUACCCACGGGUCAAGGGAGCAAUUCGCUUGAGGAGGAGGUCGCGGCCGAUUAGUUAGUUGGCGGGGUAAUGGCCCCACCCAAGACGGUGAUCGGUAUCCGGCCUGAGAGGGCGCACGGACACACUGGAACUGAAACACGGUCCAGACUCCUACGGGAGGCAGCAGUGGGGAAUUUUGCGCAAUGGGGGAAACCCUGACGCAGCAACGCCGCGUGGAGGAUGAAGUCUCUUGGGACGUAAACUCCUUUCGAUCGGGACGAUUAUGACGGUACCGGAAGAAGAAGCCCCGGCUAACUUCGUG
RNAcentral lists this ribosomal RNA (451 nucleotides) under uncultured bacterium. RNAcentral's name for it is "bacterial SSU rRNA". It matches the Rfam family "Bacterial small subunit ribosomal RNA", at positions 32 to 507 of the family's 1533-position model. The record is from RNAcentral.